Molecule: ribosomal RNA, 1453 nt
Filed under: uncultured organism
Description: 16S ribosomal RNA
Rfam family: Bacterial small subunit ribosomal RNA
Source: RNAcentral
GACGAACGCUGGCGGCGUGCCUAAUACAUGCAAGUAGAACGCUGAAGAGAGGAGCUUGCUCUUCUUGGAUGAGUUGCGAACGGGUGAGUAACGCGUAGGUAACCUGCCUUGUAGCGGGGGAUAACUAUUGGAAACGAUAGCUAAUACCGCAUAACAAUAGGUGACACAUGUCAUUUAUUUGAAAGGGGCAAUUGCUCCACUACAAGAUGGACCUGCGUUGUAUUAGCUAGUAGGUGAGGUAACGGCUCACCUAGGCGACGAUACAUAGCCGACCUGAGAGGGUGAUCGGCCACACUGGGACUGAGACACGGCCCAGACUCCUACGGGAGGCAGCAGUAGGGAAUCUUCGGCAAUGGGGGCAACCCUGACCGAGCAACGCCGCGUGAGUGAAGAAGGUUUUCGGAUCGUAAAGCUCUGUUGUAAGUCAAGAACGAGUGUGAGAGUGGAAAGUUCACACUGUGACGGUAGCUUACCAGAAAGGGACGGCUAACUACGUGCCAGCAGCCGCGGUAAUACGUAGGUCCCGAGCGUUGUCCGGAUUUAUUGGGCGUAAAGCGAGCGCAGGCGGUUUGAUAAGUCUGAAGUUAAAGGCUGUGGCUCAACCAUAGUUCGCUUUGGAAACUGUCAAACUUGAGUGCAGAAGGGGAGAGUGGAAUUCCAUGUGUAGCGGUGAAAUGCGUAGAUAUAUGGAGGAACACCGGUGGCGAAAGCGGCUCUCUGGUCUGUAACUGACGCUGAGGCUCGAAAGCGUGGGGAGCGAACAGGAUUAGAUACCCUGGUAGUCCACGCCGUAAACGAUGAGUGCUAGGUGUUGGAUCCUUUCCGGGAUUCAGUGCCGCAGCUAACGCAUUAAGCACUCCGCCUGGGGAGUACGACCGCAAGGUUGAAACUCAAAGGAAUUGACGGGGGCCCGCACAAGCGGUGGAGCAUGUGGUUUAAUUCGAAGCAACGCGAAGAACCUUACCAGGUCUUGACAUCCCGAUGCUAUUUCUAGAGAUAGAAAGUUACUUCGGUACAUCGGUGACAGGUGGUGCAUGGUUGUCGUCAGCUCGUGUCGUGAGAUGUUGGGUUAAGUCCCGCAACGAGCGCAACCCCUAUUGUUAGUUGCCAUCAUUCAGUUGGGCACUCUAGCGAGACUGCCGGUAAUAAACCGGAGGAAGGUGGGGAUGACGUCAAAUCAUCAUGCCCCUUAUGACCUGGGCUACACACGUGCUACAAUGGUUGGUACAACGAGUUGCGAGUCGGUGACGGCAAGCUAAUCUCUUAAAGCCAAUCUCAGUUCGGAUUGUAGGCUGCAACUCGCCUACAUGAAGUCGGAAUCGCUAGUAAUCGCGGAUCAGCACGCCGCGGUGAAUACGUUCCCGGGCCUUGUACACACCGCCCGUCACACCACGAGAGUUUGUAACACCCGAAGUCGGUGAGGUAACCUUUUGGAGCCAGCCGCCUAAGGUGG